Long non-coding RNA from Carassius gibelio (silver crucian carp), 182 nucleotides. RefSeq lists it as uncharacterized. The record is from RefSeq and is a predicted model, not a curated record. Lineage: Eukaryota; Metazoa; Chordata; Actinopteri; Cypriniformes; Cyprinidae. The transcript is spliced from 2 exons.
GUCAACAGACCCUGUAAGAGUCUCUGAUUGGACUGGAGUGACAAACCAAGGAGGAAUCGAAGAAAAAGAUCCAGGUGUCCAUUAUCACUCUCUAGUGCCUUGUCCACUGCAGUCUUGAGCAAAUCAAUCAUGGUUUUUUGGGGGUGGAGUGACAGUCUGAGAACGGAUUGAAGGAAAUGGUA